RNAcentral lists this ribosomal RNA (228 nucleotides) under Dermacentor reticulatus. RNAcentral's name for it is "partial large subunit ribosomal RNA". The record is from RNAcentral. Lineage: Eukaryota; Metazoa; Arthropoda; Arachnida; Ixodida; Ixodidae.
AAUGAAACUUGAUCUUUAUGAUACGAGCAUGGUAUUUCAGGGAAAGUUUUUUUAAAUUUAAUAAUUACAGUUAUUUUAAUUUGUGAAGAAACAAUUAUAUAAAUUAAGGACAAGAAGACCCUAAGAAUUUAAGAAUUCUUAUGUUACUUAAAUAUAAAAUAGGAAUUCUUAGUUGGGGCAACUAAAAAACAUUAUAAACUUUUUUUUCUUUAAAAUGACCCAUUAUUA